Molecule: non-coding RNA, 73 nt
Organism: Stegodyphus mimosarum
Lineage: Eukaryota; Metazoa; Arthropoda; Arachnida; Araneae; Eresidae
Source: Rfam
GCCUUCGUGGUGUAGUGGUCAGCACGCUGGACGCGUAUUCCAGAGGUCCGUGGUUCGAGUCCCGGCGAAAGCG